RNAcentral lists this ribosomal RNA (467 nucleotides) under uncultured bacterium. Its description in RNAcentral is "SSU rRNA". It matches the Rfam family "Bacterial small subunit ribosomal RNA", at positions 26 to 518 of the family's 1533-position model. The record is from RNAcentral.
AGGACUAACGCUGGCGGCGUGCCUAACACAUGCAAGUCGAACGAGAGUAGCAAUACUCUAGUGGCAGACGGGUGAGUAACACGUGGUCAACCUACCUUUAAGUGGGGGAUAACUAGCCGAAAGGUUAGCUAAUACCGCAUACGAUCUUCGCGUGGCAUCACAUGAAGAUGAAAGGAGCAAUCCGCUGAAAGACGGGACCGCGUCCCAUUAGCCAGUUGGUGGGGUAACGGCCUACCAAAGCAACGAUGGGUAGCUGGCUUGAGAGAGCGACCAGCCACACUGGGACUGAGACACGGCCCAGACUCCUACGGGAGGCAGCAGUGAGGAAUUUUCCGCAAUGGGCGAAAGCCUGACGGAGCGACGCCGCGUGUGGGAUGAAGGCCUUCGGGUCGUAAACCACUGUCGAGGGGGAAGAUAGUUGACGGUACCCUUGGAGGAAGCCCGGCUAACUACGUGCCAGCAGCCGC